AUAUUCAUAUUUAUUUUAAAUGAAUACGGAUACAAUUCGAAUACUGAAAAUAUGGAUAUAAUUAUAGAUAUAACUUAAAUAAUUAAACUUUAUGAGUACAUAAUCAAAAACACUAUAAAUAGAUGAUAAAUCAAACUAAUAAUAUAUUUAUAUAAUUAUAUUUUUUUAAAAAAAUUAAUAAGUACUAUAUAAAAUUAUACAUGAUUAUAUGUUGAUUUGGAUAUUUGGAUAC
This 232-nucleotide long non-coding RNA is filed under the name Elaeis guineensis (African oil palm). RNAcentral's name for it is "long non-coding RNA (EGUI_LNC030469)". The record is from RNAcentral. Lineage: Eukaryota; Viridiplantae; Streptophyta; Magnoliopsida; Arecales; Arecaceae.